AACGCUAGCUACAGGCUUAACACAUGCAAGUCGAGGGGCAGCACAAGGUAGCAAUACUGAGGUGGCGACCGGCGCACGGGUGCGUAACGCGUAUCCAACCUUCCCGAUACUCUUGGAUAGCCUUCCGAAAGGGAGAUUAAUACAGGAUGGUAUUCCACUUNCGCAUGUUAUUUAAACUAAAGAUUUAUCGGUAUCGGAUGGGGAUGCGUGACAUUAGAUAGUAGGCGGGGUAACGGCCCACCUAGUCUACGAUGUCUAGGGGUUCUGAGAGGAAGGUCCCCCACACUGGAACUGAGACACGGUCCAGACUCCUACGGGAGGCAGCAGUGAGGAAUAUUUGGUCAAUGGUCGGAAGACUGAACCAGCCAAGUAGCGUGAAGGAUGAAGGUUCUAUGGAUUGUAAACUUCUUUUAUACGGGAAUAAAGCCCACUACGUGUAGUGGUUUGUAUGUACCGUAUGAAUAAGCAUCGGCUAACUCCGUGCCAGCAGCCGCGGUAAUACGGAGGAUGCGAGCGUUAUCCGGAUUUAUUGGGUUUAAAGGGAGCGUAGACGGGAGAUUAAGUCAGUUGUGAAAGGCUGCGGCUCAACCGCAGCACUGCAGUUGAUACUGGUGUCCUUGAGUGCGGUUGAGGUAUGUGGAAUUCGUGGUGUAGCGGUGAAAUGCUUAGAUAUCACGAAGAACUCCGAUUGCGAAGGCAGCACACUAAGCCGCUACUGACGUUGAGGCUCGAAAGUGUGGGUAUCAAACAGGAUUAGAUACCCUGGUAGUCCACACGGUAAACGAUGAAUACUCGCUGUUGGCGAUACAAUGUCAGCGGCCAAGCGAAAGCAUUAAGUAUUCCACCUGGGGAGUACGCCGGCAACGGUGAAACUCAAAGGAAUUGACGGGGGCCCGCACAAGCGGAGGAACAUGUGGUUUAAUUCGAUGAUACGCGAGGAACCUUACCCGGGCUUAAAUUGCAGAGGACAGGCGCAGAGAUGUGCUCUUCUUCGGACCUCUGUGAAGGUGCUGCAUGGUUGUCGUCAGCUCGUGCCGUGAGGUGUCGGCUUAAGUGC
RNAcentral lists this ribosomal RNA (1057 nucleotides) under uncultured Bacteroidales bacterium. RNAcentral's name for it is "bacterial SSU rRNA". It matches the Rfam family "Bacterial small subunit ribosomal RNA", at positions 32 to 1087 of the family's 1533-position model. Lineage: Bacteria; Pseudomonadati; Bacteroidota; Bacteroidia; Bacteroidales. The record is from RNAcentral.